AACGUGUCCUGAGGUGGGGGACAACCCCGGGAAACUGGGGCUAAUACCGCAUAUGGGCUGAGGCCCAAAGCCGAGAGGCGCCUUUGGAGCGGCCUGCGUCCGAUUAGGUAGUUGGUGGGGUAAAGGCCUACCAAGCCUGCGAUCGGUAGCUGGUCUGAGAGGACGACCAGCCACACUGGGACUGAGACACGGCCCAGACUCCUACGGGAGGCAGCAGUGGGGAAUAUUGGACAAUGGGCGAAAGCCUGAUCCAGCAAUGCCGCGUGGGUGAAGAAGGUCUUCGGAUCGUAAAGCCCUUUCGACGGGGACGAUGAUGACGGUACCCGUAGAAGAAGCCCCGGCUAACUUCGU
This 351-nucleotide ribosomal RNA is filed under the name Roseomonas mucosa. RNAcentral's name for it is "bacterial SSU rRNA". It matches the Rfam family "Bacterial small subunit ribosomal RNA", at positions 123 to 506 of the family's 1533-position model. Lineage: Bacteria; Pseudomonadati; Pseudomonadota; Alphaproteobacteria; Acetobacterales; Roseomonadaceae. The record is from RNAcentral.